Molecule: transfer RNA, 78 nt
Filed under: bacterium
Lineage: Bacteria
Also listed under: 1 other name
Description: tRNA-Pro
Rfam family: tRNA
About the family: Transfer RNA (tRNA) molecules are approximately 80 nucleotides in length.
Source: RNAcentral
CGGGGCGUAGCGCAGCCCGGUUAGCGCGCCUGCUUCGGGAGUAGGAAGUCGGAGGUUCAAAUCCUCUCGCCCCGACCA